AGUAGAUUGGGAAACUCUUCAAACCAAAAUAAAAUUCCGAGACACGCUUGACCGACCAAUGGCGGGCCCCAUUCUCCCCCCCGGGAGAAGUUCGGUUUCCGGACCAGGCGGAUUACAAAGGGCGGCGGGCACUCAAAUCCUGUCUUUUCGGAGUUUCAUCGCAUCCUUUGGUGUGGAUUUUA
Molecule: small RNA, 182 nt
Filed under: human gut metagenome
Description: Bacteroidales-1 6S-Bacteroidales RNA suggested
Rfam family: Bacteroidales-1 6S-Bacteroidales RNA suggested
Source: RNAcentral